UGACCCGUCUUGAAACACGGACCAAGGAGUCUAGCGUGUGCGCGAGUCAUUGGGAUAACACUAAACCUAAAGGCGCAAUGAAAGUGAAAGUUCGUCUUGCACGAACAGAGGGAAGACGGUCGGUCUCGAUGACCGGCCCGCACUCCCGGGGCGUCUCAUUCUCAUUGCGAGAGGAGGCGCACCAAGAGCGUACACGCUGGGACCCGAAAGAUGGUGAACUAUGCCUGGUCAGGACGAAGUCAGGGGAAACCCUGAUGGAGGUCCGUAGCGAUUCUGACGUGCAAAUCGAUCGUGAACUGGGUAU
RNAcentral lists this ribosomal RNA (304 nucleotides) under Rhyzobius lophanthae. RNAcentral's name for it is "eukaryotic LSU rRNA". It matches the Rfam family "Eukaryotic large subunit ribosomal RNA", at positions 645 to 918 of the family's 3401-position model. Lineage: Eukaryota; Metazoa; Arthropoda; Insecta; Coleoptera; Coccinellidae. The record is from RNAcentral.